Molecule: small nucleolar RNA, 67 nt
Organism: Saimiri boliviensis boliviensis (Bolivian squirrel monkey)
Lineage: Eukaryota; Metazoa; Chordata; Mammalia; Primates; Cebidae
Source: Ensembl
AUCACCAGUGAUGACUUGAAUAAUGCCGUAGUCUGUUCAAUGAGUGAAAGGUAUUUUCUGAGCUAUG